This 202-nucleotide long non-coding RNA is filed under the name Physcomitrium patens. Its description in RNAcentral is "long non-coding RNA (PPAT_LNC004591)". Lineage: Eukaryota; Viridiplantae; Streptophyta; Bryopsida; Funariales; Funariaceae. The record is from RNAcentral.
GGUGGAUGUUGAGUAAUAAUACAGUUAUAUGGUGAAAAAUUAAAAAUAUAGUUAUUAUCAUAGAAGAGCCUAGUAUAUAGAUGUAGGAAAAAAACAAAGAUAAAUGAUAAAAAGAUAGUAAAAAGUUUAGUCUUAGUAUUGUUUUUUGAAGAAGGAAGUUCUAUUUAUUUUAUAGAAGCAUAAAAGCCUCAAAUAAAAAUAA